CUUUAACCACCAUAACAGCCGCUUCUACUCCCUCAAGGACCGCCUCAUCCGCCACGUCGAUGCCGGCCAGCUCCGCGAAGCAAUCUCAAUCCUCGAUAUCAUGUCCCAAGAAGGGACUCAUCCAGACCUCAUCACCUACUCCCUUCUUCUCAAAUCCUGCAUCCGUGCAAAUAAUUUCCAACUGGGUAAACUCCUCCAUGA
RNAcentral lists this unclassified non-coding RNA (201 nucleotides) under Hevea brasiliensis (rubber tree). The record is from RNAcentral. Lineage: Eukaryota; Viridiplantae; Streptophyta; Magnoliopsida; Malpighiales; Euphorbiaceae.